Molecule: ribosomal RNA, 497 nt
Filed under: uncultured bacterium
Lineage: Bacteria
Description: partial 16S ribosomal RNA
Rfam family: Bacterial small subunit ribosomal RNA
Source: RNAcentral
GAUGAACGCUGGCGGCGUGCCUAAUACAUGCAAGUCGAGCGAACAGAUGAGGAGCUUGCUCCUCUGACGUUAGCGGCGGACGGGUGAGUAACACGUGGAUAACCUACCUAUAAGACUGGGAUAACUUCGGGAAACCGGAGCUAAUACCGGAUAAUAUAUUGAACCGCAUGGUUCAAUAGUGAAAGACGGUUUUGCCGUCACUUAUAGAUGGAUCCGCGCCGCAUUAGCUAGUUGGUAAGGUAACGGCUUACCAAGGCAACGAUGCGUAGCCGACCUGAGAGGGUGAUCGGCCACACUGGAACUGAGACACGGUCCAGACUCCUACGGGAGGCAGCAGUAGGGAAUCUUCCGCAAAGGGCGAAAGCCUGACGGAGCAACGCCGCGUGAGUGAUGAAGGUCUUCGGAUCGUAAAACUCUGUUAUUAGGGAAGAACAAAUGUGUAAGUAACUAUGCACGUCUUGACGGUACCUAAUCAGAAAGCCACGGCUAACUACGUG